ACCGCAUUGUGUGGGGGUCUGGAAUCUUCUGGACUCCUGGGAGCCCAAUCCGCUUGCCUCUUGUACCCCUCUUGCAGAGCAAUGAGGUGCAGGAGCAGGGACCAUCCUGGAGGCAAAGGGAACAGCCGAGCACAAGCCCGAAGAUGCCACCCUAAGAGAGGUUCCAGAGUUCCCUAUAGCUCCUCCCUCUGUUGUCCUGGCGGUGAGCUACUGGGUAAGGGUGAAACCCUUAGUCUCUUGUUUAUCGGCAGCAGGUCUGCAGCCUAGAGCCAGGGGCUGCUGGACUCCUGGGAUGGCUAUUUAUUUAUGGGGUGGGGUGAGGGGUGGGGAUGGGAUGAGAGAGGCUGCUUUCCUGGGCCUACAAUUGGAGUUCCCUUCUCCUUGCCAUCCCCAGAAACUCCAAGAGCUGACCCUCUGUCUUACUAACUCAAACGGCCCAGAAACAUCAAAGUCUGACCAAAAACCGUUAAUGGUAGUCAGCUCCCUCCCUUUCACAGAGGUCUCACUACUGUCGGGGGGCGCCGGGCGCAGGCCGGGCAUGGGGCCUGAGCUUAGGCCAGGUGGAAAGGUGGAAGGACCUAGUUGGGACAGACGAAGAGACCGAGGAGCCGCCCGCCCGGCUAAAUGGACACAGGAAAGGCCUGAGUCAGGCUUCUCAUAAUAAAUAAACUGCACGUGAAUAAUUCAGCAGUCGCGCGGGGGCCGGUUGCAUUAGCGCCGCCGCCGACCCGCGGCGCCCAAUUCCCCGCGGAGGGGAGUAGCCAAUUAAGGCACUUGAAAAGGGAGUCGGGUAGAAGAUCCCCCGCCCACCAGUAUCCUGGAUUUACCCAGGUCGAGUUCAGAGAGCCUCCCCGGUCCCAACCCCCUCGGGCCCCAUGGGUCAGGGGGCCGCCUGCUGGGAAGCGCUACCUCAGCUAAGCCGCUCAGGUGUCCCGAGACUCCGGGCAAGGGAAGACAGGCGGCGAGACGGAGCCAGAAUAAGGGAUGCGGACGUCUGACCUGUGGAAAACCCAGCAUCUGCAGUGCCCAGCCGCACAGGGAACGUGGGCGGCGUGGUUCCAAGCAAAGUGAAGACGCCAGGCUCGGAUCUGUGCUCAGAGCCGGGAUCCCUCCGGGCUGCUUCGUCCUGGCCAGGACUUUCCUUGCCCUGAAGUGAGGCGCCAGGGAAGCUGCAGGGCCCUCCGCCCUCUCUGAACUCCCACGUACUUGGGCCUCUCCCAGCCUUUCUUGGACCUGUGGAUGCAAUUCCUGCAGGACCAGACUCCCCUGUCUCCCCGCGGCCCCCUAGGUACACUCCGUAACUUCCGAAACCUUAUUUCGUUUGCGCGAAACCCGGCCCCUUUGGCUCUUCCCACUUCCCACAAGUCCCUGGGUUCCCGAUCCUGAGGGAUUGCAUUCAUCCCAUCUCACACCCACCAACGCUCAAUCCCUCCAGUUCCUCCCCAGCCCCCUCACUUCCAUUAAUUAGGUCGACUCCCUUCCUUCGCCGCCCCCUCCUGUCCCCACUCAGCCUCCCUACACCUAUGCGGCGAGCCUCGGGCCAAGACCUCCGCCCUGGCUCCGCCAGUCCUGCGGGGGCCGGCAUGCACCAGACCUCAAAAGGGAUCUUCACGGGAAUUCCGCAUAGCCAGAUCCCAAGCCUCCAGGGAGGCCACCAGCCCUCCCCCAUCUUCUUCUUCCUCCUCCGUCUCCUUUCCUCUUCCCUCCGCCUCUACGUAUUUCUUUCUAUUCGUUUCUUUUCGUUUGGUGAGGUGCCACCCGCCACAGCCCUGUCCUCUAGGGAGAGGCCUGGACUAACUUUGCCGUCCUCGUGGCCUUAGCCCGGACUGUGAGUCUCGAGCGGCUUCCGAGAGGCAGCUCGGGUGUCUUCGCAGAGACAGGUGAGGUGGGCUGGCGAUUGCCUAGCCUCAGAUGGCUCUGCCACCAGCCAGCUCUGUGAUCCUGGCCGAUGGGGUGCCAGGCAUUAGAAACCUUCCCUCCAAUCCUCACCAUGUCUCCAUUUUGCCAAAGAAGAAACUGAGGUUAAGGUCGCGA
This is a long non-coding RNA of Pan troglodytes (chimpanzee), 2034 nucleotides long. RefSeq lists it as uncharacterized. NCBI's taxonomy places the organism in Eukaryota, Metazoa, Chordata, Mammalia, Primates, Hominidae. The transcript has 3 exons. The record is from RefSeq and is a predicted model, not a curated record.